UGUUGCUCCUCCUCUGUUUUGUGAAAGAUUUUGUGGAAAAUAGAUUAAUUUUCUGUUAAAUGUUUGAAAGACUCCGUCAGUGAAGUCACCAGGACCUGCUGUUUUACUGCCUGUAGGGAGGUGCCUGGCGAAGCUACUGUGGUUUGUUUCAAGUACAGGCAAGAUGAGUGCCUGAAAAUGGUAGCUCCUGAUGAAGUGUCACUGGAUUGGACCUUUGAGUUAGGAGUGUUCCAGAAUCUCUCAAACACAAGACCAGUGUGGCGAUAAUACAAGUCAAUUAACUAAGAAGUAUCUUCGGGCUGCAAAGCGGAUGGCCAGAUGCUAAAGAUCUAAUGGAAGACUCCAGAGUCCUUCAGGACUCCCAGGCCAGGAGAUGGCGGAACUAUAGAUGGAAGUAGCCUGAAUGCCUGAGUCAUUUCAUGGUAGAAGAUGUCCAAGAACACCAGUUAAACUGGAGCAUCUCCACUGGAUGUUUGUAAAUGAAAAAUAAAUUGUUACCAUAUUAAGCCAUUACGACAUUGGUUUUCUUUGUUACAGCCGUUAGUCAACACAAAACUAGCAAUUUCUUUCUGAUAUCUUGAAAUAUUUAC
Molecule: long non-coding RNA, 590 nt
Filed under: Equus caballus (horse)
Lineage: Eukaryota; Metazoa; Chordata; Mammalia; Perissodactyla; Equidae
Description: lncRNA (ENSECAG00000059963.1)
Source: RNAcentral